This 602-nucleotide ribosomal RNA is filed under the name Pseudostriatella pacifica (nom. ined.). RNAcentral describes it as "eukaryotic LSU rRNA". It matches the Rfam family "Eukaryotic large subunit ribosomal RNA", at positions 25 to 671 of the family's 3401-position model. Lineage: Eukaryota; Bacillariophyta; Striatellaphyceae; Striatellales; Striatellaceae. The record is from RNAcentral.
CCGCUGGAAUUAAGCAUAUUAUUAAGCGGAGGAAAAGAAACUAACCAGGAUUCCCCUAGUAAGGGCGACUGAAGCGGGAAGAGCCCACCAUUUGAAUCUAUAUCCACGUUGGUGCGGAUAUCGAGUUGUAGUAGGCCAACCUUGACUGUAAGCUCCGCGCCAAGUCCCUUGGAAAAGGGCAGCUUAGAGGGUGAGACUCCCGUGUGCGUGGUACCUUGAAUGUCGAGUGGCCUAGGUGAGUCGAGUUGCUUGGGAGUGCAGCUCAAAGUGGGUGGUAAAUUCCAUCUAAGGCUAAAUAUCGGUGGGAGACCGAUAGCGUACAAGUACCGUGAGGGAAAGAUGCAAAGAACUUUGAAAAGAGAGUUAAAGAGUACCUGAAAUUGCUGAAAGGGAAGCGAAGGAAACCAGUGCGGUGCAUGGUCAUAUUUCCUGUGUCUUUUGGCAUAGGCGCUGUGUCCUUGCGUGCGCCAACGUUGGUUCGGCUGGGUUGAAUUGCCGUUGCAGGAGGCAGCCCUUGGGUGAUUACUGUGGCGUGCUGAACUGAGCUGGACUGAGUGUUGUCGAAAUGGUUUUCUUUACCCCGUCUUGAAACCGGUCCAAGG